RNAcentral lists this long non-coding RNA (576 nucleotides) under Rattus norvegicus (Norway rat). Its description in RNAcentral is "long non-coding RNA NONRATT011217". Lineage: Eukaryota; Metazoa; Chordata; Mammalia; Rodentia; Muridae. The record is from RNAcentral.
UGUCUCCCUCGGGGUGGAUACCUCCUGACCCUGUCCACGGCCACCUUGGGUUAGGAAGUGGAAUGCCCAGAACCAAGCAAGGUUUAGGUCUUAAUUUGGUUGUUGCCAUAUCAGAAUCAGGGCCUCAGAAAAGUAAACUGUGGGGCUUAAACCUUCUUUACGGUAAGUGUUACUCUUUGGUGAACCCACCGCAAAGCUUCGCCCAAGUGCCUCGAACCCAGCCUGGCUUGCCACGAAGAACGUGGCUGUCCGCCGCCCUCAGAUUGUGCUCAAGAGGUAAUGGGAGAGGGAAUUGCGGGCCUAGAGUCUGGGGAAGUGUAAAGGGUUCAGCCUGUGGCCAACGUCUUCCUUCACCUUUCGCAGGCCUGAGGACUGCUUUUAUUUAUAAAUCUCUGGGAACUGAGAUAAAAUUUGGGCAAGAGAAUAAAACAUACUUCGAAAUUUAGAUCGAAGUGAAAUCACCAAAAACGCUCAAAGAAUACUCUUAUUGAGAUUUGCUGCACUGAAUGUGAGCUCCUGCCUGAUCAAACAUCCUCGCAAACCUUAGGGCAAAACCUGCACUGGGCAAAACCUCAA